RNA transcript from Physeter macrocephalus (sperm whale), 2567 nucleotides. RefSeq lists it as uncharacterized. The record is from RefSeq and is a predicted model, not a curated record. The transcript is spliced from 2 exons. NCBI's taxonomy places the organism in Eukaryota, Metazoa, Chordata, Mammalia, Artiodactyla, Physeteridae.
UCCUGAGGGAUGUGUCGCCUGCUUCCCAGGGAAGACAUAAAGCACCUUUUCAGAACGCAGCAGGUUUUAAUUUCUAGAACUGCAGAAUCACCCUGAAAAUGAGAAACAGGGUGUUGGGUGUCUGAUAAGUGAAGAUAGGGGUUUAGCGGAUGAGAGGUUCCGAAGGAAAGGCAGUUACACUACUUUGUCUAAAGAAGAGCCCAGGAGUCAGCCCGUAAGCAGGGUAAGCGUGGUUGGGAGACCCCCCACCGGGACGCACGCGGACGCCCUCGUCGUGACCCUCCAUCAGUCCGCGCCAAGUCCAGCCCUCGCAGAUGUGCAGCCAAAGUCAUCUGCCCAGCGGGGCGGCUGGCGGGCACCUGGAGCCGGGGCCCUGCCACUUCCUCAGGCUCAGGCAGGCGGGCGUGGCCUGGGGCAGCCUCGUCAUGCCCUCUGGCUUCCCACCAAGGCCAUCCAGGCCACCUGCCUCUGCAUCCAGCCCCGUGAUGCCACCGCCCUCUUCCUAUGCCAGGCACCUUCCUGUUGGGGGCAGGGACUGUGCCAGGCAGUCUUGUCAACAGGAACGGGCCGUGCUCCCGGGCACAUGGGCUCCACCCCUAGGCCCCCCUGCACAUGCCCAGGGGGCCCGGCAGACGCAGAGGGUGUGCCACCCCCAUCAGUCCGCCACACUCAUACCGGGGAGAGGUGGCUGGGUCACAGGCAGCUGCCCUCUGGCUCUGGGGACAGGGUGGAGAAGGGCCUGCCCUGGUUCACCUUCACCCAGACGCCGACCUGCGGAGCGUCCAGGGCUGUGAGGCCAGCAGGGGAGGACAGAGGUUCCCAGCCAGACUCCCGAAAGCAAGCUGACAAAGUCAGUAGUCAGAAGGUCUCAGAAGGCCCGUCCUUGGUGCAAGGGGAACACCUGCAGGAGGAAAGGGCGAGGGCUCUGGAGGCCAGAGGGGAGGGGUCCCGAGGGCAGAGCACAGGCCCCACAGGCCUGGCUUCGGACUGUCCCCAGACUGUCCUCGUUCCUCCGGGAAAGGCCUGGACGAUCCCCAUCCUCUGCCGUGGAGUAACCAGGCCAUUCCGCAACCAGCCACCGGUGACAGAGAGCCGGUGGCAGGGGCACUUCCGCCUCCCCAUGACCCUGGCUGAGAUGAGCAUGGUGUGGUCUGGGAGGGGGGCGAGUCAGACAGAGGAGACAAUCUCAGCUCCCAGGAAGAGGCGAUCUGGGGGCGGGGGGUGGGGCAGGCAGAGGCAGGGGAGGUUACCGACCACGGGUCCAGGAGCUCAGACCUUUGCCCCGCUAGUGGUCAGAGUUUCCGUCCUUUUUCCUAACUCUCUAGAGCAAGGAGUUUGGGGGACAGGCUUGACCAACUGCAGCCUAAGGCAGCACAUGGCAAGGUAUACAGCCGGUGUCAGUUAAUGGUGAAGGGCGCUCACACUGAAAUCAGACGGGAUCCCAGCCCAACCGAUUAUUGGUCACUUGAGCUCUCUAAGCCUCCGUGUCCCCACCUGUAAAACGGUGAUAGGAUCAGUGACCAUCUCGCAGGGCUGCUCAGAGGAUUACACGAGAAACUCGACAUCAUGCACUGAGGACAAAGCUUGGCAGCUGCUGGGCCUCAAUGAACCCCAACCAGGACUGUUGUCCCGACUAUAGACGUGCUAGCUGAAGAACCAGUGGGCUGCUCACACCCUCGUCCUGGGGGGGGUCUGCCGCACUGGGCGGGCCUGCAGGCAGUGCCUCAGGACCAACUGCUUCCAGGGACGCUGAAGAAAUGCUUUCCCCCAAAGCGAUCUUCUUUCUCCUCCUUCCACUGGCUUCAGUGUCUGAGGUUGUACCAUAGAGACUUGUUUCUUUGGGUGGCACCAGCAACAUCUCAGAUCACGGGCCUGCACAGAGCUGCUGAGAGAGCAGGCAGUAUCAGGGCUAAAGAUAUCAAUAUAUAUCAGAGCAUUGGUAACAUAGAAGUGAAAGAAAUUCUUAGAUGGAUGAGAAAUGACACAGAAAAGGAGGGAAAGGAGCACCACGCUGAACCUAGAACUCCAAGGCACAAGACUUGGGUCUUAAGAUCCCGAGCCUCCGUCAGAGAGUCUUGGAAGAACUGGUUGAUUGACUAGAAGGAACACGCCAGGCAAGAGGCUGUCUUGGAAGCCAAGGAAGUGAGAAGUCUGAAAAAUGAGAGUGUGGUCACCACCUCACAUCAACAAAGUGACCCAGGAAGAUGAGGACUGAAACGUAUACAGGGCCUUUGCACAGGCUGUGAGUUUGUCUGGUAUGCUCCCCCCAACACACACGCACUGUUCUCCGAGUUAAUUCCCACUCUUCCUUUGGACCCUGACCUAAAUGUCACUUUCCUAAGGAUGCCUUUCCUGGCCCUCUGCCUGGUCAGUUGUCUCCCUGUUUUCCCUCAUAGGAACAUGUGAUUCUGUGAAGGCAAUUACCACUAGCUACGGGGUCAAACCAAGGUCUCCGUGAGCAGGCACAAGAGAGGCUUAUUUCCCCUAAAUGUAAUGCGCAGUGUGGGUUGGGUAGACCCCUUUCUCCUGUAGCCCCACCAUCUACAUGGCACUCACCGUCAUCAAAA